UCCCGGUUAACCCGGGCAGUCUCACUAGAGUUCCCACCUUCACGUGUUGGCAACUAGUAAUAAGGGUUGCGCUCGUUGCGGGACUUAACCCAACACCUCACGGCACGAGCUGACGACAGCCAUGCAGCACCUGUGUACAAGUCCUUACGGACGUUCCUAUCUCUAGAAACUCCCUGUACAUGUCAAAUCUGGGUAAGGUUCUUCGCGUUGCAUCGAAUUAAACCACAUGCUCCACUGCUUGUGCGGGUCCCCGUCAAUUCUUUUGAGUUUCAGCCUUGCGACUGUACUCCCCAGGCGGUAUACUUAACGCGUUCGCUACGGCACAACCAGGGUUGAGUCCGGUUACACCAAGUAUACAUCGUUUACGGCAAGGACUAC
This 378-nucleotide unclassified non-coding RNA is filed under the name uncultured Parachlamydiaceae bacterium. RNAcentral's name for it is "contains 16S-23S intergenic spacer region". Lineage: Bacteria; Pseudomonadati; Chlamydiota; Chlamydiia; Parachlamydiales; Parachlamydiaceae. The record is from RNAcentral.